Molecule: long non-coding RNA, 813 nt
Organism: Bos taurus (domestic cattle)
Lineage: Eukaryota; Metazoa; Chordata; Mammalia; Artiodactyla; Bovidae
Source: Ensembl
CGGGAGGACGCCGAUGUCAACAAGGCCCGGGGACGCUCCAUCCGGCGCCGCCCCUCGGGUCGCCCCGCCCCCAGACCCAAACCACGCGAGGUCUCGAGGGUCCCGGGACGCGGCUUCAGAAAGAGGAAGCCCGGGAAACCGGUUUCCGCGUUGCAGCUGCUAUCCAGCGCUCCCUGGCCGGUCCCAGAACCGAGACCUGGGCGCUAGGUGCAGCUGCUCUGCGGUGCCCGCUGCUGUGUGGGCGCCUGUACGUCAGUCAGGGCAGGCGGCGCCGGGAGCGGACCGAGGGCUGCCCGGCGGAAGGGCUCUGUCCGCGGCUGCGGGCCUUAAGAACGUGCGGGCCGCCUCCGUUGUGGGCCUCCCGAUGCUGGACACCAUCUACCUGGUGCUGAAGCUGUGAAGCCUCCGAGGACCAGCGGCUGGACGAGCUGUUGCAGAAGGGGACCCAGGCCACUUCACCAGCCCCACUCAGCUCUGCAAGCACCGUGAGGAGUUUACCACAUUCCCCUCCCCAUGAGAACAUUUUGCAUUGUUCUGUUCUUCAAGCUAAUGGAGGAAAAACACCCUGAUGGACAUGAGCCACGUUGGACCCACACUCACUGGGCUUGGCAAAGGGUGAAGAAAUCAGGAGAAUGGAGAGAAAUUCCACAGGUGGAUGGCAAUGUGCCACUUCAGCUCCGCCUGGUGCCUGGCAUCCCCUCCAUCUGGGACAUGGGGACCCUUCUCUAAAGAAACCCAAAAGCUUCAGGGAAAUAUCAAGACCAGGGAGGGACCAGAAGCCUCAGCUCCCUGCUGAUUCCACUUUAAGUCCUG